This 1309-nucleotide ribosomal RNA is filed under the name Ospriocerus latipennis. RNAcentral describes it as "eukaryotic LSU rRNA". It matches the Rfam family "Eukaryotic large subunit ribosomal RNA", at positions 705 to 1863 of the family's 3401-position model. The record is from RNAcentral. Lineage: Eukaryota; Metazoa; Arthropoda; Insecta; Diptera; Asilidae.
AACCUAAAGGCGUAAUUAACUUAACUGUUUAUAAUGGGAUCAAUUAUAUAUAUGUUUACAUAUAUAUAUUCCAUCCCGGGGCGUUCUAUAUAGUUAUGUAUUUUAAUAUAUUUUAUAUAUAUUAUAUAUACCUCUAACUAGAGCGUACCUUGAGCAUAUAUGUUGUGACCCGAAAGAUGGUGAACUAUACCUGAUCAGGUUGAAGUCAGGGGAAACCCUGAUGGAAGACCGAAACAGUUCUGACGUGCAAAUCGAUUGUCAGAAUUGGGUAUAGGGGCGAAAGACCAAUCGAACCAUCUAGUAGCUGGUUCCCUCCGAAGUUUCCCUCAGGAUAGCUGGUGCAUUUAAAUAUUAUGUGAAAUAAUCUUAUCUGGUAAAGCGAAUGAUUAGAGGCAUUAGGGCCGAAACGACCUUAACCUAUUCUCAAACUUUAAAUGGGUAAGAACCUCACCUUUCUUGAUAUGAAGGUUGAGGUUGUGAUAUAUUGUGCCCAGUGGGCCACUUUUGGUAAGCAGAACUGGCGCUGUGGGAUGAACCAAACGUGAUGUUACGGCGCCCAAAUUAACAACUCAUACUGAUACCAUGAAAGGCGUUGCUUGCUUAAAACAGCAGGACGGUGGACAUGGAAGUCGUAAUCCGCUAAGGAGUGUGUAACAACUCACCUGCCGAAGCAACUAGCCCUUAAAAUGGAUGGCGCUCAAGUUGUAUGCCUAUACAUCACCGCUAAAAUAUAUGAUUUAUAAAAUUCUUUUUUAUAAAUUUUGAAAUUUUAGUGAGUAGGAGGGUACAAUGGUGUGCGUAGAAGUGUUUGGUGUAAACCUGCAUGGAGCCGCCAUUGGUACAGAUCUUGGUGGUAGUAGCAAAUAAUCGAAUGAGACCUUGGAGGACUGAAGUGGAGAAGGGUUUCGUGUGAACAGUGGUUGAUCACGAGUUAGUCGGUCCUAAGUUCAAGGCGAAAGCCGAAAAAUUUUAAGUUAUAUUAAAAUUUAAUAUACUUAAUUUUUUGAACGAAAGGGAAUACGGUUCCAAUUCCGUAACCUGUUGAGUAUACGUUUGUUAUUAAAAAUGGGCUUUUAUGCUCAUCCUGGUAACAGAAACAACCAUAAAGAAGCCGUCGAGAAAUAUCGAAAGAGUUUUCUUUUCUGUUUCAUAGUCGUACUACCAUGGAAGUCUUUCGAAGAGAGAUAUGGUAGAUGGACUAGAAGAGCAUGGCAUUUACUGCUGUGUCGAUAUUUUCUCCUCGGACCUUGAAAAUUUAUGGUAGGGUCACGCAAACUUCUUAACAGGCCGUACCGAUAUCCGCAGCUGG